CGGGGCUUGAGUCUACUGCUGAACAUCCACGUCCCGGGAGAAGGGGCCAAAUAGGGUGUCCAAGAGCCACGCUACGGGGCAUUCCAGGGAGGCUGAAAAGAUGCCUGGAUCCCUCAGCUGCAGUUGGUGCUGAGCAGGACAGACUCACUGGCUGGAACCCUGCACUUUCCCAUGUGGCUGCUGCAGAUGAGAUCUUGGAGCACCCGACACAUACUGGCAUGAGGAUCAAACUGGAUUUACAAUUAAAUUAUAGAAACAUAAUCCUGAGUAAUGAAUUGAAGACUAGCUGGAGAGAAGCCUUAUAACCAAGGGCUUACAGAAGAAGCCACAUUGAGUCUGAGACAUGGGAAUAACACAAG
Long non-coding RNA from Phyllostomus hastatus (greater spear-nosed bat), 359 nucleotides. RefSeq lists it as uncharacterized. The transcript is spliced from 3 exons. Lineage: Eukaryota; Metazoa; Chordata; Mammalia; Chiroptera; Phyllostomidae. The record is from RefSeq and is a predicted model, not a curated record.